AAUCAACGUUGGCGGCGCGCUUAACACAUGCAAGUCGAACGAGAAAGUGGAGCAAUCCAUGAGUAAAGUGGCGUACGGGUGAGUAACACGUGGGUAUCUACCUUUUGGUGUGGAAUAACUCUGGGAAACCGGAGCUAAUACCGCAUAAGUCCGUGAGGAGAAAGUCGCAAGACGCCGAUAGAGGAGCCCGCGGCCGAUUAGCUAGUUGGCGGGGUAAUGGCCCACCAAGGCUACGAUCGGAGCCGGCCUGAGAGGGCACACGGCCACACUGGCGCUGAAACACGGGCCAGACUCCUACGGGAGGCAGCAGUGGGGAAUCUUGCACAAUGGGGGCAACCCUGAUGCAGCGACGCCGCGUGAGUGAUGAAGCCCUUCGGGUGGUAANACUCUUUCGUACAGGAACGAUAAUGACGGUACCCGUGGAGAAG
RNAcentral lists this ribosomal RNA (428 nucleotides) under uncultured bacterium. RNAcentral's name for it is "bacterial SSU rRNA". It matches the Rfam family "Bacterial small subunit ribosomal RNA", at positions 32 to 490 of the family's 1533-position model. The record is from RNAcentral.